Molecule: ribosomal RNA, 160 nt
Filed under: uncultured bacterium
Lineage: Bacteria
Description: partial 16S ribosomal RNA
Rfam family: Bacterial small subunit ribosomal RNA
Source: RNAcentral
AAUCGCGAAUCAGAAUGUCGCGGUGAAUACGUUCCCGGGUCUUGUACACACCGCCCGUCACACCAUGGGAGUUGGGGAUACCCGAAGCCUGUGAGNUAACUUUUAGAGGCAGCAGUCGAAGGUAGAAUCAAUGAUUGGGGUGAAGUCGUAACAAGGUAUC